AUUGAACGCUGGCGGCAGGCCUAACACAUGCAAGUCGAACGAGUGGCGGACGGGUGAGUAAUGUCUGGGAAACUGCCCGAUGGAGGGGGAUAACUACUGGAAACGGUAGCUAAUACCGCAUACCAUCGGAUGUGCCCAGAUGGGAUUAGCUAGUAGGUGGGGUAACGGCUCACCUAGGUGACGAUCCCUAGCUGGUCUGAGAGGAUGACCGGCCACAAGGGAACUGAGACACGGGCCAGACUCGUACGGGAGGCAGCAGUGGGGAAUAUGGCACAAGGGGCGCAUGCCUGAAGCAGCCAUGCCGAGUGUAUGAAGAAGGCCUUCGGGUUGUAAAGUACUUUCAGCGGGGAGGCGUUACCCGCAGAAGAAGCACCGGCUAACUCCGUGCCAGCAGCCGCGGUAAUU
RNAcentral lists this ribosomal RNA (405 nucleotides) under uncultured bacterium. RNAcentral's name for it is "partial 16S ribosomal RNA". It matches the Rfam family "Bacterial small subunit ribosomal RNA", at positions 29 to 525 of the family's 1533-position model. The record is from RNAcentral.